UUUACCAUAAAUACGAAACACAUAUGUAACAAUACACAUGUAUGACAUUUGCAGGUGAUGAAUAAUUAGAAAAGGUUGUUAAAAGGAAAUUUACCUUUUUCUGGUUUCACCAACUGAAGAUGUGUUGGUCCACACUCUGGCUUGUAAAGCAGAACUUUCUCUUCAUUAACCCCUCUGAGCCAACACUUCCUGAACUCUUGCCACAUGAACAACCAGGGUCACCACCUCAACGUCUGUGCACAGGAUGUGUCUGUGUAAACACACCGCCAACCACUCCUUCCUCUAACGCUGAACAGCCUGCAAAAAACAAGCCUCCCACAGAUACCACUACAACCAAGACUUGGAGAGGUGUGCCCCCUUCAGCAGCUGUUCCCUUCCACCCGGCUUAG
Denticeps clupeoides (denticle herring) is the source of this 389-nucleotide long non-coding RNA. The record is from Ensembl. NCBI's taxonomy places the organism in Eukaryota, Metazoa, Chordata, Actinopteri, Clupeiformes, Denticipitidae.